CAUGCUCUCAAGCAUGAGGUUCUGCCAUGUGGCUCUCUAAUCUUGCAUAUAGCCUUCCACAUUAACUUCUUCUUGCCAGACAAAAGAACGUUUUAAAGUAGCCAUAAGUUGCGACUAAAACACCAUCCAUUGUAAAAAACUCAAGCUCAUCUUUAAUAGCUUAUGUAAACCAUGAGAAUUAGUUAAUGGGCAAUAAAUAAUAUGCCAUCCCUUUUCACCUCUGAGUCUCUGACUCUUCCAGUUCUUCAGAUGCUUCAGCUACCACCCCCGGAAUUAAAUUCCUUUAAGAUUUCCAAUUUCUCUUUCCUCUCACACUGUUUUUUACCAGUAUGAACUCAAGUGGAGCUUGGGUUUGGUUAAAUCAUUGGAGCUUGCGACCCCAAAUUCUUUGGCCCGCAGUGAAGAGGCUUUUAAAGGCCUUUGUAUUAAAGGAUUUGAGGAUCGUUAAUGGCAUGUUGUGUCUAUGGAGGGCUAUAGUAUAAUUACAAUUCCAAUGUCACAGAAGCUGAAAUGGAGUUCACUGUACAGAAGCUGCCAACGCAAUUUUUGGUCCAAAAUACUCUCUACUAGCAAUGACAAAGUGAGCAUUUGGGUCAGUAAUGAGCUUGAGGCAGGACAUCCAUUUUGUGAUAUUAAUUGUAACAGAUCAUGGAGAACACAUAUCUUGAAGAGCUAAGGGAAAAUAGAGAGGAAUAGAUGUUGCCAUUAAAUGAAUGCAAAAUAGUUAUUUUACGUGUUGCUCAUUGGAGCAAUGAGCAAGGAAGAUUGUUGAGAUUUCUUUCCUUCGAUGGUUCUAUCAAGUGAAAGUUAAUGAUUAAUUGUAAGGAUAUGAACGAGUCAAUUAUGAAAGUUUCAAUUGCAAUGUGAAAGUCAAGGUGCCUAUUUAACAUUUCA
Molecule: long non-coding RNA, 894 nt
Organism: Quercus lobata
Lineage: Eukaryota; Viridiplantae; Streptophyta; Magnoliopsida; Fagales; Fagaceae
Exons: 4
Source: RefSeq, a predicted model, not a curated record